RNAcentral lists this ribosomal RNA (253 nucleotides) under uncultured bacterium. RNAcentral's name for it is "partial 16S ribosomal RNA". It matches the Rfam family "Bacterial small subunit ribosomal RNA", at positions 524 to 776 of the family's 1533-position model. The record is from RNAcentral.
UACGUAGGGGGCAAGCGUUGUCCGGAAUUAUUGGGCGUAAAGAGCGCGUAGGCGGUCCGAUAAGUCGGCUGUGAAAGUCAAGGGCUCAACCCUUGAAAGCCGGCCGAUACUGUCGGACUAGAGUCCGGAAGAGGCGAGUGGAAUUCCCGGUGUAGCAGUGAAAUGCGUAGAUAUCAGGAGGAAUACCGAUGGCGAAGGCAGGUCUCUGGGCUGACACUGACGCUCAUGCACGAAAGCGUGGGGAGCAAACAGG